UGGGGAAUUUUGCACAAUGGGGGAAACCCUGAUGCAGCGACGCCGCGUGAUUUAGAAGGCCUUCGGGUUGUAAAAAUCUUUUCUAUGGGAAGAAAAUGACAGUACCAUGGGAAUAAGGACCGGCUAAUUACGUGCCAGCAGCUGCGGUAAUACGUAAGGUCCGAGCGUUGUCCGGAAUCAUUGGGCGUAAAGGGUACGUAGGCGGGUAAGCAAGUUAGAAGUGAAAUCCUAUAGCUCAACUAUAGUAAGCUUUUAAAACUGCUCAUCUUGAGGUAUGGAAGGGAAAGUGGAAUUCCUAGUGUAGCGGUGAAAUGCGCAGAUAUUAGGAGGAAUACCGGUGGCGAAGGCGACUUUCUGGCCAUAACCUGACGCUGAGGUACGAAAGCGUGGGUAGCAAACAGG
Molecule: ribosomal RNA, 402 nt
Filed under: bacterium
Lineage: Bacteria
Description: partial 16S ribosomal RNA
Rfam family: Bacterial small subunit ribosomal RNA
Source: RNAcentral